This 253-nucleotide ribosomal RNA is filed under the name uncultured bacterium. RNAcentral describes it as "partial 16S ribosomal RNA". It matches the Rfam family "Bacterial small subunit ribosomal RNA", at positions 524 to 776 of the family's 1533-position model. The record is from RNAcentral.
GACAGAGGUGGCAAGCGUUGUUCGGAUUCAUUGGGCGUAAAGAGCUCGUAGGUGGCUCUGUAAGUCGGAGGUGAAAGACCACGGCUCAACCGUGGAAACGCCUUCGAAACUGUGGAGCUUGAGGCUGGGAGAGGAAAUCGGAAUUCCUGGUGUAGCGGUGAAAUGCGUAGAUAUCAGGAGGAACACCGGUGGCGAAGGCGGAUUUCUGGACCAGUUCUGACACUGAGGAGCGAAAGCCAGGGGAGCAAACAGG